GACGAACGCUGGCGGCGUGCCUAACACAUGCAAGUCGAACGGAAAGGCCCUGCUUUUGUGCGGUGCUCGAGUGGCGAACGGGUGAGUAACACGUGAGUAACCUGCCCCUGACUUUGGGAUAACUUCAGGAAACUGGGGCUAAUACCGGAUAGGAGCUCCUGCUGCAUGGUGGGCGUUGGUAAGUUUCGGCGGUUGGGGAUGGACUCGCGGCUUAUCAGCUUGUUGGUGGGGUAGUGGCUUACCAAGGCUGUGAGGGGUAGCCGGCCUGGGAGGGUGGCCGGCCACGUGGCGACUGCGAUACGGCCCAGACUCCAACGGUACGCAGCGGUGGAGAGUCUUACACAGUGGGCGGGAGCCUGAUGCAGCAACGCCGCGUGCGGGAUGACGGCCUUCGGGUUGUAAACCGCUGUCGCAUGUGACGAGGCGUGAGUGACGGUAAUGGGUAAAGAAGCACCGGCUAACUACGUG
Molecule: ribosomal RNA, 468 nt
Filed under: uncultured bacterium
Lineage: Bacteria
Description: partial 16S ribosomal RNA
Rfam family: Bacterial small subunit ribosomal RNA
Source: RNAcentral